RNAcentral lists this small RNA (27 nucleotides) under Bombyx mori (domestic silkworm). RNAcentral describes it as "ovarian small RNA-14595". The record is from RNAcentral. Lineage: Eukaryota; Metazoa; Arthropoda; Insecta; Lepidoptera; Bombycidae.
CGUUGAAUGAUUCUUACGAUCUGAUGG